Molecule: ribosomal RNA, 114 nt
Filed under: Serratia fonticola
Lineage: Bacteria; Pseudomonadati; Pseudomonadota; Gammaproteobacteria; Enterobacterales; Yersiniaceae
Source: RNAcentral
UGGCGGCAAUAGCGCGGUGGUCCCACCUGACCCAUGCCGAACUCAGAAGUGAAACGCCGUAGCGCCGAUGGUAGUGUGGGGUCUCCCCAUGCGAGAGUAGGACACUGCCAAGCA